Molecule: small nuclear RNA, 35 nt
Filed under: Cervus elaphus hippelaphus
Lineage: Eukaryota; Metazoa; Chordata; Mammalia; Artiodactyla; Cervidae
Source: RNAcentral
GUGCUUGCUUCGGCAGCACAUAUACAAUUUUGGAA